This 741-nucleotide ribosomal RNA is filed under the name Triticum aestivum (bread wheat). RNAcentral's name for it is "partial small subunit ribosomal RNA". Lineage: Eukaryota; Viridiplantae; Streptophyta; Magnoliopsida; Poales; Poaceae. The record is from RNAcentral.
AUGGCCGAGGAGUUCGAGCUGCCUGAAUUCAACCCGAGGGAGCGCGCCAAGCAGCAGAUUUCGGUGCCAUUUCUGUGGGAGGUGAAGCCCGGUGCGCCGAAGAGGGACUGGGCGAUCUCCAAGCCGGCGCCCACGGUCUUCUCAUGUCCAUCCCCGGUCAAGCUUGUUGUCAGUGUGCCAUUCCAGUGGGAAGAGAAGCCUGGGAAGCCCCUACAAGACAUGUCACGCUUUCAUGCACCGUCCGAUCGUCAUGCCGGCUUUUCGGUAUCUCCUUACUCACUGAACCCUUUUGUGGCCGAGGAUGAUGAAGAGUACACGCUGGGGUUCGACCUGGAAGCGUUCGGGUUUCCAGACGACAGCAAGGCGUCCACCGGCGCCGCGGAUUAUGCGGACGGGUCGAGCCGCCAUGGCGCCUGGUACUCGUUUUCAGAGUCAGAGGACUACAGCAACUCCAGCGGGAACACCUCUUCCCGGGAGUCCCAGUUCCCCCGGGCGCCGUCGGAGCGGAGCUGGGAGGUGGCCAACGAUGACGACCAUGAGCUGACCAAGCCGCGGAGCCCUCUGAGGAGCGCGUUCACGCUGGAGGAGCUCAUGAUGCUGAGCCGCAAGCUGGGCGGCGGGCAAGGGUUCCCGGCCGAUGUGAGGAAGAAGAGCCUCUCCCCCUCGCUGUCCUCUGUGUGGGCGGCUCCGUGGCUGUUGCGGCACAUGGACGAGCUGUACCGUGUGUGCAUGUGCGUGUGA